This 274-nucleotide ribosomal RNA is filed under the name uncultured bacterium. Its description in RNAcentral is "partial 16S ribosomal RNA". It matches the Rfam family "Bacterial small subunit ribosomal RNA", at positions 523 to 796 of the family's 1533-position model. The record is from RNAcentral.
AUACGGAGGGUGCAAGCGUUACUCGGAAUCACUGGGCGUAAAGCGCGCGCAGGCGGCUUGGUAAGUUGGAUGUGAAAGCCUACGGCUCAACCGUAGAACUGCAUCCAAAACUGUCAAGCUAGAGUGUGGGAGAGGAAGAUGGAAUUAGUUGUGUAGUGGUAAAAUCCGUAGAGAUAACUAGGAAUACCAAAAGCGAAGGCAAUCUUCUGGAACACUACUGACGCUGAGGCGCGAAAGCGUGGGGAGCAAACAGGAUUAGAUACCCUAGUAGUCC